AAAUCGUUUGGUCAAGCUAAUAAGAGCGCAGGGUGGAUGCCUUGGCACUAAGAGCCGAUGAAAGACGUGAUAAGCUGCGAAAAGCUUCGGGGAGGAGCAAAUAUCCUUUGAUCCGGAGAUAUCUGAAUGGGGAAACCCGGCUGAGUAACCCUCAGUCACCAUAACGUAAAUACAUAGCGUUAUGGAGGGAACCCGGUGAACUGAAACAUCUAAGUAGCCGGAGGAAGAGAAAGAAAC
RNAcentral lists this ribosomal RNA (237 nucleotides) under Clostridium sp. AM22-11AC. RNAcentral's name for it is "partial 23S ribosomal RNA". It matches the Rfam family "Bacterial large subunit ribosomal RNA", at positions 1 to 229 of the family's 2925-position model. Lineage: Bacteria; Bacillati; Bacillota; Clostridia; Eubacteriales; Clostridiaceae. The record is from RNAcentral.